AGAUUUAUAUUCUCUUCCCCAAAAGGGGAUAAACAAAUUAAGUGUAUUAUAUAUGGUAUACCUAUCAGUAAAUCAUCUGUAUAUUAUUUUACUAGCUAAAAGGCUAAAAGAGUUGUCCAAAAUAUUUAAUUUUAUGGCAUAUAGUUAUGGAUAUUUUAUCUGGAUAUUGAGAUUCAUAAUUUUUGAGCAUAGCUCUUGUAAUAUAUAACUAAAAAACAAAACUAAUACAUAGACCAAAGGCACUCAUAGUUGGUCUUUUAUUCUGACUAUAUUUUUCUUGUACCUGGAAAUUCAAAAAACUGCAGGGCACAGCAGUCGUCUGGUGAUGAACUUCAUCAGACUCAGUGCUAUGUCACUGGGUGCUAUGGUCAGUGUCAGGGAUUGCCACCUGGUUAAUUCAUCUAAUGGUAAUGAUGAUAAUAACAUGAAAUGUACACUCAGUAUGUACUGAGUGCUUUACAUAAAUUAACUCAUUCAAUGAUGACAACACACUCCUUUUGCGGGUACUGUUUUUAUCUCUAUUUCAUAGGUAAGGAAACUGAAAUCAGAUACUCCAUGGUUCGGGGGAAGUAAAGAGGCAGAUCUGAACCCAGGCAAAAGCAGGCACCUACCAAAAACAGGCAGCUGAACACUGCCUUUUGAUCAUUUGGAUGGUCAAACUUUACAUUGGAUAGCUAGCAUAUAAAUGAAGGCUCAGACUCAAAAAUAAUAGCAGGUUCUUUUUUUUUUUUUUUGACAGGCAGAGUGGACAGUGAGAGAGAGAGACAGAGAGAAAGGUCUUCCUUUGCCGUUGGUUCACCCUCCAGUGGCCGCCGCGGCCGAUCCGAUGGCAGGAGUCAGGUACUUAUCCUGGUCUCCCAUGGGGUGCAGGGCCCAAGCACUUGGGCCAUCCUCCACUGCACUCCCUGGCCACAGCAGAGAGCUGGCCUGGAAGAGGGGCAACCGGGACAGAAUCCGGUGCCCUGACCGGGACUAGAACCUGGUGUGCCGGCGCCGCAAGGUGGAGGAUUAGCCUAGUGAGCUGCGGCGCCGGCCAAAUAGCAGGUUCUUACAUGGUACCUGCUCUGCACAAGGCACUUUAAAUAUAUCAAGUCAUCUAUUUUCAACACACUCCCAAGAGUUAGAUAUACCUGUUAUUUUUAGAGUUUUAUUAAUUAUUUGAAAGGCAGAAUUAUAGAGAAAGAGGGAGAGGCAGAGAGAGAGAGAGAGCGUGCUUUCAUCUGGUGAUUCACUCUCCAAAUGGUUGCAAUGGCCCAGGUAGGACCAGGCCCAAAAUGAGGAACCUGAGCUACAUCCAGGUCUCCCAUGUGGGUGGCAGUGGUCCAAACACUUCGGACAUUUUCCACUGCUUUCCCAGGUGCAUUAGCAGGAAGCUGGAUGAGAAGUAGCAGCUGGGACUUGAACCCACACUCAUACGGAGUGUUGGCUUAUAUGGGAUGCAGGUGUUGCAUGUGGUGGUUUAACUCACUGUGCCACAACACCAGGCCCAAGGUAGAUACGCCUUUUAUUUCUACUUCAUAAUUGCAGAACCUGAGGCACAGGGAAAUUUGUCUACAAUUACUAUUGUAAUAGAAGCAGACUUUGAACUUGGUCUGACUGAAGAAUUUAUGUUCUUUCCCAUUAUGGGAUAUUGUGUUCUGUUCUGUAGACUUAAGAUCCUAAGUAAUAUGUAAGAAAACUCAGGUAUGGUAGCUAUGUAAAAGAAAAGGAGGAGGAGGAAACAUAGAAAAUGUCUAUUAAAAGUUAAGAUUCAACAAACAUGGAAUAAAUUUGUAAACUUUUGAAUACAUAACAAUAAUAAAUGGACACUCAAAAAUUUAAUCUGCAUCGAUUCACUUGUUUUAGUUAGUACUUGUUAUGUGUGGAAUAACUUCUAAUUCAUAUGUUGAAGUCCUAACCCCAACUACUUCUUAAUAUGACCUUAUUUGGAGAUAAGAGUCUUUACAGAGGUAAUCAAGUUAAAGUGAUGCUAUGAGGGUUGACCUUAAUGCAAUGUGACAGUAUACUCAAAAAGGAGGAAAUCUGGACACAGACAGGGAAGGUAAUGUAAAGAGAUAAAGGGGGAAGAAGGCUAUUCACAAGGCAGAGAGAAGGCCUGGAACUGACAGUUCUUAGAAAAAAACAACAACCUUGUAACCACCUUCUAAAAUAAUAUAACUAUUUGCAGACCUGUAGCCUCCAGACUGUAAGGCAAUAAAUUUCUGCUCUUAUUUAAGCCAUCCAGCUUGUGGUACUGUUAUAACAACCCUAGCAAACUAAUAUAGCACUCAAGAUUAAAAUGAGCAGAGGGGCAGGUGUUUGGUAAAUGCUAAGACACUGCUUACAUAUCUGCAUCCCAUAUCAGAGUGUCUGGUUGCAACCUGAUGCCUCUGCUUUCAAUUUAGAUUCCUGCUAACUUGCAGCAGGGAGAUAGCAGAUGGUGGCAAAGUACUUUGGUCCCUGCCACCCAAGUAGGAGACCUAGAAUAGAGUUCCAGGCUCUUGGCUUCAGUCUGGCAAAGCUCUCUGGCUAUUGAAGUCAUCUGGGGAGUGAAUCAGCAGAUGGAAGAUCUCUCUCUUUCUGUCUCUAUCUUUCAAGUGAAGUGAAAGUCAAUAAAUUUCUUAAAAAUUAGCAGAAAAUAAUUUUUAAAUAGCCAGACUGAAAUGCCAGAAAUUAAUGAAAAGGUCCAGGACAACUCAUGGACUCCAGGAAAGUCUAGCUAGCCUUUUAGUACUCAUAUAGGUAGCCAUCAUCCAAAAAAAAAAAAAAAAAACAAAAAAAAAAACAAAAAAAAACAAAACAAAAACAAAAACAAAAAAAAAACAAAGCAGGCUGAGCUUUCAAUAUUUCACAGGGAACUCAUAUCUGACUAUUUUGAACUGCAACACUACUCUUCUUCCACUUUCAGACUCCAAUCAAAACACUGGCUCUUCUUGGGUCUGCAGCCUUUUGCCUUUCAGCCUGGAAUUUAUAUCAUUGACUCUCCUGAUUCUCAUGCAUGUGAACCCACAGUAGAAGUACACAUUGACUGUACUGGGUCUCCAACUUUCUGAUUCUAGAUCUUGGGGCUUGGCAGCCUCCAUAGUCAGUGAGUUAAUUCCUCACAAUAAAUCUCUUUCUAUGUAUGCACCCAUUAGUUCUUUAAGUAAAGCUCAGUGUCAGAGCCUGCUGUAUAGCAUAUCAAGUAUUUACACUUCCUAAUUGGGCCAAACUGAAAUGAGCACAUUGUAGACUCUCAAAAGGACUUAUUACAUGGAGAAAAAAAUGAAAGAGUAGUUACAACUUCUGUGAUAAAGUACCAUUUAAGAAAAGAAAUCUUUGCCUCAACCUGUUUAUUCUAUUUUGAAACUGGAUUAGGGUAAAACUCUCAUGUUAGCCAUCAGUAGUACAUUCGAGAACGGUGAAUAGACUAUCAUUUAAAGUUGGAUUUUUUUUAGAUUUGUUUACUUGAGAGGCAAUUACAGAGAAGGAGAGUGACACAACAGGCCUCCGAUUCACUGUUCACUCCCCAAAUGGCCCCUAUGGCAGGAGCUGGGGCUAUCCGCAGCAGCCCAGAGCCAGGAGUCUCUUCUGAGUCUCCAGAGUGGGUGCAGGGGUCCAAGCACUUGGGCCACUUUCUGCUGCUUUCCCAGGCUAUUAGCAGAGCUGGAUUAGAAGAGGUGCAUCCUGUACAGGAACCAGAGCGCCCAUGGGAAUCCAGCGCUGCAGAGAAUGGCUUCGCCUACCGCGGGGCAGCAUCCGCCAAAAAUGGUGGAUGUUUAGUGACAGAAAAUGGCAUGUGCAGAGUGCUGGGCAAGGACUUGGCACUUUUGCAGGGGGCGGUACUGGAAGCGGAAGCCGUGUGUGCUACAUCCUCCACCGGAAGCGGAAGCAGUGUGCGCCUACAUCUUCCGGAAGGCGAGUGGCCCGGCAGGCAGGUAGGCUGGAGUCGUUGCUUUGUGUCCCACCCGGCGGACAUGAAUCCGUUAACCAAGGUGAAGCUGGUGAGAGAGUUGAGUGAAAGGGAAGCUGGCAUGGUGCCACCUAAGGUGUCCUGGCACUCCAUGUACCGGGACAGCGCUUGGGUCUUCGUGGGAGGGCUUCCGUAUGAACUGACUGAAGGAGAUAUACUCUGUGUGUUCUCGCAGUACGGGGAGAUCGUUAACAUUCAUCUCGUGCGGGAUAAGAAGACAGGGAAGUCUAGGGGGUUUGGUUUCAUCUGCUAUGAAGAUCAGAGGAGUACGGUUUUGGCCGUUGACAAUUUUAAUGGAAUCAAGAUCAAGGGAAGAACUAUCCGGGUAGAUCACGCGAGCAACUACCGCCCGCCUCGGGAUUCAGAGGACAUAGACGACGUCACCAGGGAGCUGCGGGAGAAGGGCUGCGGGCCCCAGGUCCCCUCAGCGAGUUCAUCUGGAGGCUCCAGGAACGAAGCGCUGCCACCGCAGCCCAAGCUAGAAAAAGGGAUGGGAGAAGACCAACGGGAGGACUGCUAUAGGAGUUACGGAAGUGAGGGCCAGGCGAUGCCGCGACAGAGACCUGACUUCCAAAGGGAAAGACGCCCCAGGAACCAGUGAACAUACCAAGGAAUCAUCGGUGCUGAGAAAAAGAAGAAUGUUUAUUUCAUGCCGGCUAAGCAGUACGUUUGGAAAUUUUCUCUCAAACAACUUGUGAAGAACAACCUUGUUUUACUUAAGGACAGAGUAAUAAAGGAGGAGGAGCACACACAUGGCUUAACAACCAGAGUCUGAGAUUUCAGUGGUGAACAAGAUAAAAGAGAUAUUUUAUAAGAAGGACUCAUGCAAUAUAUGACACAUUACAAGGUAUGAUUUUCUAUACUAGUAAGUUUUAUAAAGAAAAUAAAUUUAUUUAUUAUACACACACACAUAAUAGAUUUUUGGAUGAGAGGUGCUAGCUAUUUUCCUACAAGUGAUCAAAUAAAGCAAUCCUGAGGAGAUGGUAUUUGAACAGACAACUAAGUAGCAAGAGAUAGAAACCACAGGAGAACCCAGGGCUCAAUAUUCCUGGAAGACAAACAUGUCUUUAGUCUAGUACAAGGGCAGGGUGGGGACUUCCAGGGGCCUUCUAUCCCCAUGCCCUGUUUGCACCAGACUCUAUCUGCAAGGAGAGCCUAAUUAUGUUACAGUCACUGGUCCACUGACUUCCCUUUUCCUACUCAGGCAUCCCUUUCACUCUGCCCACAGAUUCAGUCUCAGUACAGCUUUGACCAAUGGUUGGAAGACCUAACACCAGACCACCAUCUGGUCUCCCUCUCCCUCCCCCUCUCUCUCUCCCACCAUCUUGGGCUUUCCUUUUUUGGGUGGGUCUUUAUGACUGAUUCAAUUUCUGUCUUGGUUGUUGGUCUGUUUAGGUUUUCUAUGUCUUCAUGACUCAUCUUUUGUAGAUUGUGUGAGUCCAGGAAUCUAUCCAUUUCUUCUAGAUUUCCCAAUUUGUUGGCAUAUAGCUCUUGGUAGUAAUUCCUGAUGAUUCUUUUUAUUUCUAUGGUAUCUGUAGUUACAUUUCCGUUUUCACUUCUGAUUUUAUUGAUUUGGAUCUUCUCCCUAUUUUUUGUUUUUGGUUAGUUGGACCAAUGAUGUAUCGAUUUUGUUUAUUUUUCAAAACACUAGCUUUUCAUUUCACUGAUCUUUGUAUUUUUUUAAUUUCAUUUUUAUUUAUUUCUUCUGAUGUUAAUUAUUUCUUUCCUCCUACUAAUUUUAGGUUUGGUUGUUGUUUUUCUAGGUCCUUGAGAUGCAUUAAUAGAUCAUUUAUUUGGUACUUUUCCAAUUUUUUCAUGUAGGCACCAAUUGCUAUAAACUUCCUCUUAACACUGCUUUUGCUGUAUCCUGUAAGUUUUGACAUGAUGUAUUGUUGUCUUCAUUUGUUUCUAGAAAUUUUUGUAUUUCUCUUUUGAUUUCUUCUGUGACCCAUUGUUCAUUCAGGAGCAUGUUGUUCAAUCCCCAUGUUUGUAUAUGAUCUAGAGAUUCUUGAGUUGUUGAUUUCCAACUUCAUUCCAUUGUGAUUAGAGAAGAUACAUAGUAUGAUUUUGAUAUUUUUUUUAAUUUGCUAAGGCUUGCUUUAUGGCCUAGAUCUACCCUAAAGAAUGUUCUGUGCACUCAUGAGAGAAUGUAUAUUCUGCAACUGUGGGGUGCAAAGUUCUAUUGAUAUCAGUUAGGUCCAUUUGAUUCAUAAUGUCAAUUAGCUCUGUCUUGUUUAUCUGUCCAUUGUUGAAAGUGGAGUGGUGAAGUCCCCCAUCACUAUUGUAUUGGGGACUGUGCCUCCCUUUAGAUCCAUUAAUAUUUCUUUUAGAUAGCCAGAUGCCCUGUGAUUUGGUGUGUAUACAUUUGUUAUAGUCACAUUUUCCUGUUAAAUUGAUUCCUUAAUGAUUACAUAGUGCCCUUCUUCAUCUCUUAACAGUUUUUUUAUGUAGAAUUCUAUUUUGUCUGAUAUUAGGAUGGUAACACUUGCCCUUUUUUGCUUUUCAUUAGAAUGGAAUGUCCUUUUGUGUCCUUUCACUUUCAUUCUGUGUGUAUCUUUGUUGGUGAGAUGUUUUUCUUGUAGGUAGCAAAUAGAUGGGUCUUGCUUUUUAAUCCAUUCAGCCAGCCUAUAUCUUUUAACUGGAGAGUUGAAUCCAUUUACAUUCAAAGUCACUAUUGAUAAGUAAUGACUUAGCUCUGCCAUUCUUCCAUAACUAUUCCUAUUUUUUACUUCAGACUUCUUUUUGUACUUUUACUGGUGGAUUUCUACAUUUACAUUCUUUCAUCAAAAUGACUAUCGGGGCCGGACUGUGGCACAGUGGGUUGACGCCCUGGCCUGAAGUGCCAGCAUCCCAUAUGGGCGCUGGUUCGAGACUAGCUCUCUGCUAUGGCCUGGGAAAGCAGUAGAAGAUGGCCCAAGGCCUUGGGCCCCUGCACCCACGUGGGAGACCCGGAGGAAGCUCUUAGCUCCUGGCUUUGGAUGGGUGCAGCUCCGGCCUUUGCAGCCAACUGGGGAGUGAACCAGUGGAUGGAGGACCUCUCUCUCUCUCUUUCUGCCUCUCCUCUCUGUGUGUAACUCUGACUUUCAAAUAAAUACAUAAAUCUUUUAAAAAAAGAUGACUAUCUUUCUGUUUAUCUGUUUGUAGCACAUCUUUAAGCAUCUUUUGUAAGGCUUGGUCAGUGGUGACAAAUUCUUUAAAUUUCUAUUUGUUGUAGAAGGUCUUUAUUUCACCUUCAUUCAUUAAUGAGAGCUUUGCAGGGUACAGAAUUCUGUGUUGACAGUUUUUUCCUCUCAAGACUUGGACUGUAUCUCUCUGUUUCCUUCUAGCAUGUAGGGUUUUGAUAAGAAGUCAGCUGUGAGUCUAUUUGUAGAUCCUCUGACAGUAAUACUGCAUUUUUAUCGUGCAAAGUUUAGGAUCUUUAUGUUUUACUGUGGAAAGUUUGACUGCAACAUGCCAUGAUGAAGUAUCAGGGACUGAUAGGAGUUCUGUGUGCUUCCUCUAUUUGAAUGUCCCUUUCUUCCUCUAACUUGGGGAAAUUUUCUGAAUUAUUUCACUAAAUAGGUCUUCUUGUCCAUUCUCUGUUUCCAUACCUUCAAGAACUCCUAAGACCCAUAUGUUGGAUCUUUUGAUAGUAUCUCAUAAAUCUCCAACCCUGUUUAAGCUUUCCGAUUUCUUCUUUCUUUUUUUUUUUUUUGACUGUAAGAUUGCCAAACUUAUGUCUUCUAGUUUGAAUAUUCUUUACUCUGUCUUGCCAAGUCUGCUGUUAAGGCUUUCCACUGGAUUAUUUUUUUGAUAUAUUAAAUUCUUCAUUUCUAAUAUUUCAUUUUGAUUUAUAUUUAAAAUCUCAAUUUCAUGGGAAAAUUUUUCGUUCAUAUCAUUUAUGGUUUUCUUUAGUUUGUGGAUUUGCUUCUGAUUCCUUUUGAGUAGUCCUAUGAUUAAUUUUUUGAAUUCCAUUUUUGGCAUUUACUCAGUCUCUUCAUUUUCACAUUCUAUUAUUGAAAUGUUGGGUUCCUUUGAGGGGGGUGGUCAUGGUGUCCUCCUUAUUCUUGUUUCUUGAAUUUUUGCAUUUGUUUUUAGGCAUUUGUGGGAUUGGUUUUUGUUUUUUUUCUUCUGAUGGCUUUUCUUCUUUGAACUAUGCCUCUGUGACUUAGUGGGAUAUCAGCACUUUCAGUGACUAUUUAGGGGUAUUGGUGGGUAUAACCAGGGAGCUCUCUUCAGUGGCCCAGGGUGGGGUGAGUAUCCAGGGUAACACCCAAUUUGGGUGUGGUAGAUCUCCAUGCCAGGGUGUUAUCUCCCAGUGUGUUCUGGGCCACCACAUGAUCUGCAUAAUUGAUCUGUGUAGUUUUCACUGUGAGCAUGGUGAGCACAUGGUGUCACUCCCAGUGAUUGCCCAGAGACCCAGCUACUCCCUUCACCUUCUCCUGUAACCUCUGAGUGCCACAGUCACUGGGUGCAGAGGUUUCUGUUUGCCCCACCAGCCUGCCAGUCCACAGUGAGGCAGAUGUUCCCUGAGACAGUCCCACCUAGGCGUCUUGAUCCUGGAAGGCUGCAGGUGCUGCAGCAUCCUGUGUGGUUACUCACUCACCUCCCAGCCAGACUCAGAGUCAGUGGGGCCUGCGGAUUGUUUCCUCUUCUAGAAUCACUGGGUCACACGGGUAUACAAGAUCCACUGGAUGAAUGUGGCUCUGCCACUGCCGCCAGCACUGCUGUGAAGAUGGUGGCCCGUCUCAGCCAGUUGCUGUGUACGCACACAAAGGCUUGUACAACUGCUGCCCAAACCCAAAAUGGCACCUGCUGUUUCUCAGCCAGGCAACCAGCACGGUUGUGAGGAAGUUGGGGAGAGACAAACAUGCCCCCUCUACUUCUCCUGGGUCUGUGGCAACCACUAGCAAACUCUAGCCCAUAGGGCUCCAGUCUGGACUCAAGCCACGCUCUCCCUCUGCCUGCAUCACCACAGGUUGCUGCAGUCCAGUCUCACCUCCGUCUCCAAACCUCCACCCACUCCAGCUCUUGUUGGCUGCACUUGUGCGUUGUGUUCGUAUUUGUGCUGUGCAUCUGCACCCUCUACACAGGUCCAUGGUGUUCAUCCUACUCUUGUAGGAUUUCUAAUGUGGGUUUCUCUCCAGUUCUCCCCUGCGAGUGCACUUCCUACCCCCUUUUCUUUCUUUUCUUUCACUUUUUAUCCCUAGUCAAGUACAUUGUUUCCCCCUAAUCUGCCAUCUUGGAAUCUCCCCCAACCUCAUCAUUUUCUAUUUAUUUUUCCAUCAUUUUGUCCUCCAUAUAUGAAAUUUUUUCCUAUUUUCUCAGAUUAUUCUGACAGUUACUUAGUUAUCUUUUUUAUUUUUUUUAUCCUCUCAGGGUUUGGUCCUACUGGGUUAUUGAAGCAUGUUGCAUUGUCUUUGUUAAUGUUUUCUCUCACUGUGAGUAUGCUUGGUGCAUAUAUUGUAUCUUUAAUUAAAUGUAAAAAUAGGGUUCUAUGAUAAAACCAGAUUGAUAAGUUUCCUACUAAUUCUUAGAGGACACUGGAAAAUAGAUCCAUGGUGGAGUGUUUGCAAAUGCUUUCCAUCAGUGGCUUCCAUGGAUUCGAUUUGAUUUUACAAGGGAAAAUUAUAAAUUUUUCAAAAUUAAUUUUGUCUAGAAAGAUGUGGGUGUGGGAGGUCAUUCAUGUGUAACCUAUAAAGUGGCAAUUUCACAUGAAAAAUGAUAUAAUGUUGCCAUCUUAAUUUAGGCAUAAUGGAAUAAAACAAACACUAUUACCAAUCUCCUCAUUUCUUAUUUUUCCAUUGAUUUGUUUAUACAUUCAUUUAUGUUCAUCCCAGGAACCUUUACAAAUAAUUUCCAUGAGCCGGGGAUAGAUGCUUUCUUAUAUAUAACUGACUUCUAAAAUGCUAUUUUUUUUUUUAAAUAAAAUGCUAUUCUUCCUUGGUUUGCCCAUCAUUCCUUUUUUUUUUUUUUUUUGACAGGCAGAGUGGACAGUGAGAGAGAGAGAGAGACAGAGAGAAAGGUGUUCCUUUGCUGUUGGUUCACCCUCCAAUGGCCGCCGUGGCCGGCAUACCGCGCUGAUCUGAAGCCAGGAGCCAGGUGCUUCUCCUAGUCUCCCACGCGGUUGCAGGACCCAAGCACUUAGGCCAUCCUCCACUGCACUCCCAGGCCACAGCAGAGAGCUGGCCUGGAAGAGGGGCAACCGGGACAGAACCCAGCGCCCCAACUGGGACUAGAACUUGGUGUGCCGGUGCUGCAGGCAGAGGAUUAGCCUAUUGAGCCACGGCGCUGGCCCCAUCAUUCCUUUUGAUAAUUCACUUCCACGACUCCUAAAUGUUCUAGGAAUUUACCUGUGGUAUCCACCUUGUCUAUGUCUGCCAUACUUAACACUUAAAUAAAAAUUUUCCUUUGUCAAUUCUAUCCUGUGCUUCCUUAAUGCCUCUUGCCCAUACUCUUCUGUUUCUGGAAUCAACCGAUCUUUAUUUUCAUAUUCAAGCCCAGUACCUUCUCUGGAAUUUGCCCCAACUAUAGUCUGGGCUAUUUAAGGAAUUCUAUUCUUUUUGAGGAAUUUCAAGACAUAUAUAAAAAGUCAACUUGGGGCCCAUGCUGUGGUAUAGCCAGUAAAGCCACCACCUGUGGAAACGGCACCCCACAUGGGUGCUGGUUCAAGUCCUGGCUGCUCUACUUCUGAUGGCAGGAGCUAUGGCCGGCGCACCGCACUGAUCCGAUGGCAGGAGCCAGGUACUUAUCCUGGUCUCACAUGGGGUACAGGGCCCAAGCACUUGGGCCAUCCUCCACUGCAUUCCCGGGCCACAGCAGAGAGCUGGCCUGGAAGAGGGGCAACCGGGACUAGAACCCGGUGUGCCGGCACCGCUAGGCGGAGGAUUAGCCUAGUGAGCCGCGGCGCCGGCUCUGGCUGCACUACUUCUGAUGCAGCUCCCUGCUAAUGCACCUGGGAAGGCAGCGGAGGAUGACCCAAGUCCCUGGCCCCUGCACCCACGUGGGGGACCUGGAGGAGGCUCCUGAAUCCUGGCUUUGGUUGGGCCUACCUCUGAUGGUUGUGGCCAUUUGAGGAGUGAGUCAGCAGAUGGAAGAUCUCUCUCUCUCUCUCUGUAACUCUGCCUUUCAAAUAAGUAAAUACAUCUAAAAAAUUUUUUAAAAGUCAACUUUUUUGCUAGUCUUAUUUGUAGUUUCUUGCUUCUUGUUUCUAAUAAUCGUGCAUUUUCUUUCUCCAAUGACCAGUUAUUACUUUGAAAUCCCAUUUUCUCCCAAGUAGGACAUUUUAUUGAGGGAAUCCUACUCUUGAACCAGAGUUCCCUGCACAGGACAAUCUUCUAUGAUCUCCACACUUUCCUUAUUUUGGAUACGUCUGCUUCUAUAUUUGCUUCACUUCAGAAAAUGUUACAUUAAGCUAUGAAAUUGUCUCUUAUGACUGUAUAAGCCGAAAAAUAGAUUCUAAGUUCUUUGUGGAUGUUCAUUUCCUACUUAAACUCACUGCAGUCUGUUUACCUUCCUAGUUUCCUAACUAUACACACACAGCCAUUGUUAAGAUCACAAUUGCUUUCUGUUUUGAAUAUUUAAUAGAUAUUCAUCAAAGGCUCCUCUUUGAUUAUCUGCCAGCUGUCUUCUCUAACCCAUUUUUUUUUUCUGUCUGGUUCUCAUCCCUUCCCUCUCUCCUUCAUGGGCUUCUCCCACAAUAUCAGUGUUGGUAUUUAUUGGGUUUCUGUCUUUGAAUUAUUUAUUAUUUUAAAAUGUUAACUAUGUUUUAAAAUUUUGCUUAUUUUAGAUACACACACACAAACACAAACACACACACACACACACAGAGGGAGAGAAACUCCCAUCUGCUUCUAUUACAUAGCUCUCUCAAUGCCUGCCACAGCUGGGACUGGGCCAGUGCCAAAGCCAGGACCUGGAACACAAUCCAGGUCUUUCCUGUGGGUGGCAGAAACCCAGUUAGUUGACUGACUCACCACUGCUGCCACCUGGGAAGCUGGAGUCAAGAGCCGGAGUCAGAAAUUGAACUCAGGUACUCCAGUGAGGGAUACAGGCAUGUUAACUACUAGAGUAAAAGCCUGCUCCUGCAUCUGUCACUUUUAAUAUUCUGUGGGUGAUUUUAUUCACCGUAUAAACUUUGAAAAUGGAUUUAACUUCAUAAUUUGAGAUAUUUGAUAUGGGCUAUACUAAUUGGAAUAGGAAUUUAAGUAUUAUUACUGUAUAGAUCACUGGUUAACAUCAAAUAUAGCUCAUCUGGAAUACAAUGAAAUCAGUACCCAGUCAGCUACUUCUGUCACAGAAAGUAACUUAGAUAAGGAGAGAUCAGAGAAAGAACUCAUGUGGAAAUAUUUGUUGAAUAGAUAUUCUAUAAUCAAAUAAAACAAGUUUUUUUUUGCAGAAUGUUUAAGAUGUGAGAAUAGAUUUAGCAUGUAGAAUUACUCUUUUUAAUGAGAAUUUAAAGGAUAUUUUUAGCUAGGACACAAGCAGGAUGGUAACUGAAACUUCCAGGCACUUGGAACUAGUAAGUAUACCUUUCUUUUUUAAAAAAAUACAUACUUUUCAAAAUGCGUUCACACUUGUGGUCUCAACAACAUUGUGAAGUAGGCAUUGAGAAAGUUAGGACAUAGAUUUUAAACAGGGGAAGCAACAUGGGGUGAUUUGUUGGUUUUUAAUUGUAUUCUAAAUCAAUUUUUCUCAAGUUUGCUGUGCACAUACAACAACUGGGAGGCUGUGACCUGGUAGAUUCCAGUUCAGUGAACCUGGGAUCGGACCCAAGAUUCUACAUUGUCACCAUGCCCCCAGGUGAUGCUGGUGGCCACCUUGAGGAGGGCCUUUGGGGGAGUCCUAGACUCAGAAAGUCCUGGACUCAGGGGCUAGGAAGGGAGGAGAAAGAUUCAGAGGAAGUCCUUAAGGCUCUCUGUUCUCUUCAGACAAAGUAGCAUCAUUUUGAUCUGACCAUAAAUUAAAGUUGCACAUUACAUUUUAUUGGAAGGAUGUUUUAUUGUUACUCUUGCCCACACCCCAACUUGCCAUUGAUUUCAAACUGUUGGGGAAAAUGGACAGGAGUUGUAAUAUAGUGGGUUAAACUACCUCCUGCAGUGCCGGCAUCCUAAAUGGGCUCCAAUUUGUGUCCCAACCGCUCCACUUCUGAUCCAGCUCCCUGCUAAUGGCCUGGGAAAAGCAGAGAAUAUGGCCCAAGUACUUGGACCCCUGGCACUCACUUGGGAGCCCAGGGUGAAGCUCCUGGCUUUGGCCUAGCCCAGCCCCAGCAAUUGCAGUCAUUUGGAGGAGUGAACAAGUAGAUGGAAGAUCUCUCUCUCUCCCUCUCUCUGUAACUUUGGAUUUCAAAAUAAAUAAAUAAAUCUUAAAAAAAUAAUUUAAGGAAACAUCUAGAAUGGAUUCACAUCAUGUCUAGAAGCACCUAUCCUUGGUCCCACCAAGGGUGUGUGUUCUUCUCUACACUGAAUGAAAUGGAAGACAACAUCUCCAAGGAUCUGCCAAUACUAGAAUUCCUAUGUCACUUCUAAAGUACCAAACUGCUAGAUUUACAUGGUAAAUCAAGCUUGUGCCCUAAUCUUCCAGGUUCAGGAUUGAUGUCAUUAUACCAUAUGUUAUUUGGGUAUUUGUGGCAGUCGUGAAGUAAAUAUGACCCUUUGCUCAUGAUAAGUAAUGGAGAAAUCAUUAGCUUUGCUAGAGGGUCUCCUUUAAGAAAGUAGAGAGUAACAGUAUAUAUUGGAAAAGAAAAUUUGUUGAGAGGGGAGAAAUAUCUGCCCCUUCCUAUUUGUAGCUGAUUCUUUGGUAUCUAGGAAAAUGUAGGAUUGAUAAAUCAUAAAACUUAGAAUUGCAAAGGAUCCUUUUCUAAUUUCAGCAUAUUAUCGCAGUCACAGAAGUUAAGAAAUUAGUAUCGAAGUCAUCUAGACAGUACCCAAAAUUUAACAAUUCCUUUGAUUUCCUGAUUGUUAUGUGGAAAUUUAUGUACCUUUUGUACUUUUGUAUCGAAUCUCCCACCGUACCAGUAAUAUGAAGCUACUCUGGUGAGCUGAAGGUUUCAUAUAUUUUGCUUCUUCCUUCACUCUCCACCUCUGGUGCUCUACCUAAGCCCAUCAUUUGAUGAAAAUUAUAUAAGUAGAACAGAGCCACAGAGAGUAGGGCAAACUGAGGCCAAAUAGUACACACUGGGGAACUGAAUGUCAGCCGGAUUGCAUAAGCCCUGUUUAUCUUCAUGGCGGAAAUCGCCAUCAUGCAUACUUCAGAUUCUUUGGUUUUCUUAGUGCAUUCUGGUGCAAGAACCCCUCACUGAGCUACUGGGUAAAAGGGUAGAUGGCAACGAAGUAGCUAGGUUUUAUGAGUACAAUCAAAAAGCGUUUUGAAAUUCAAUAGCAAACAAUUUUGUUGUUAAUAUACUUACUUUGGCAGACUGGCUACUACUUAUUGACAUCUUAGGACACAGUGGACAGUGUUCUAAAUGUUUUAUACAUCUAGUAUCUUUUAAAACAUUUUUAUUUACUUGUUUUUAUUUUAUUUGAAAGGUAGACAUGAUAGAUAUAGAUAGAAAGAGCAAGAUCUCCCAUCCACUGAUUCCCUUUUCAAAUGCCUUUAAAUUUCCUGAGGCUGGGCCAGGCCAAAAUCCGAGGUUGGAACACAGUUGAGGUCCUCUAAGUGUGUGGCAAGGAUCCCGAACACUUAAGUGAUUAUGUCCCCCCUCCUAGGGCAUGUAUUAGCAGGAAACUAGAGUCAGGGGGUGGAGAACCAAGACUCAAACCCAGGCACUAUGAUAUGGGACAUGGGCAUUCCAAGUGGCAUCUGUCUCUUGUGCCACAAGUCUUCUACAUGUACUCUUUUUCAUUCUGAUGUAUAUCUCAUUUCAAGUUCUUCUAAGGUACUCUUUUAGUCACCACAGUGAUAGCCAAAAAGAUGGAAAGAUAGUCUACUAGUAAGCAUCAGCAAUAUUUGGGUGGAGUUUCCAUUGAAUCUGCAGUUGUUGGACUUAAUAUACCAAACCGUAUGAUUUCUUGGGCUUCUGGUGGGCACCCACGUCAUUCAGUUGCAUUAGACCUCUUACCUUUCAUCUGGUCUUGCAGUGUGAAGCUUGCCAGUGCCUCUGUGGUUUACCUUUUCUCUUUAAAGCACACGAGCUAUUUAGAAUAUAUCAGUAUGCUCUGAUUAUGCUUUGUCUACACCCUACUUCAGUAGUGACAAGUGUAGAUAGUAAAGUAGAUCUUAACUGAGGCUUGUUAGUUCUCAAAUAUUUUUAAUAUCAAUGGUUGCAGUGGUUUAGGUUUUAUUGUUACUCCAUAUUUUUGUUUUAUAUAAAUAGUUUUUUAAAAGAUCAGAAUAAUUGCUUUCUCAGAUACGCUUUAGUUGCUUUUCCAAUUCAUUGUUGAGUUAUCAGCCACAGAUGUUAAAUUAAAAUACCUACUAUAUAAGGAUGUUUUAAAAAGUUCAUUGAAAAAUGCAACUGAAAGAUAAAUUUAGGGAGUGGUACCAUGGUGCAGUGAGUUAGUUGUGCAAGUCCUUGAGACACCUGCAUUCUAUGUCAGGGUGCUGCUUCCAGUCUUGGCUGCUCUGCUUUUGUUCUAGCUCCCUGCUAAUGUGUCUGGGAAGCAGUGGAUGAUGGGUACUGCUUGUGUUCUCAUUCCACGUGGGAGACCCAGAUGGACUUCCUGGCUUCUGACUUCUACCUGCCUUGGCCCCAGCUGUUGUGGCCAUUUGGGGAAUAAACCAGUGAAUGGAUGAUCACUGUCUCAAUCUCUAUGCCUCUUGGUUUCACUCUUUCAAAUAAAUAAAUAGAUAAAAAUCUUAAAAACAGAUAACUUUAUUUUGGCACAAAACUUUUAAAAUCCAUGCAUAGGAGAGUUCUUCAAAUAAGUCAUGAAAAAUGUAUAUUAUAGGAAAACUAUACAUUGGGGCCAGUGCUGUGGCGCAGUGGGUUAAUGCCCUGGCCUGAAAUGCUGGCAUCCCAUAUGGGUGCUGGUUCGAGACCUGGCUGCUCCACUUCCGAUCCAGCUCUCUGCUAUGGCCUGGGAAAGCAGUAGAAGAUGGCCCAAGUGCUUGGGCCCCUGCGCCCGCAUGGGACACCCAGAAGAAGCUCCUGGCUCCUGGCUUCAGAUUGGCGCAGCUCUGGCCAUUGCAGCCAGCUGAGGAGUGCACCAGUGGAUGGAAAACCUCUCUCUUUCUCUCUCUCUGCCUCUCCUCUCUCUGUGUAACUCUGACUUUCAAAUAAAAUAAGUAAAACUUUAAAAAAAAAACUAUACAUGGUUUCAAAUUUUUUUUGCGCCAAAGUAAAAACAUCUUUUAAUCUCAUUUUCCAUGAACUUUUGAAAUACCUCUAUGUUUCUUCUGGAGGAAAGAGUAAUUUAUAGUUGAGAACCACUGUGCAUAGUACAUUACCAACCCUCACAAUUCCUGUGUGUUCUCUCUGUCCACUGUCCCGGAAUGACAAUCUUCCUUCUGUUCAGUCUUUCCAAAUAGAGAUUACCUAUAAUGUGCCAGGGACUGGGAACUCAGCACUGAGUACAACAGGUAAUCUUGCCUUCACGGAGACAAUGUUCUAGUGGAAGUACACAUGAUUUUAUGGACAUAGCUCAUAUUCUGAGUCUUCUUUCCAUUUCUGUCUACUUCUUUCAUAAUAAAACAUCUUUCUUCUACAAAAAGAUUUUUCCUAAAGACUUCAGAAAUAUUAUCAGUAACACUUAUUUGGAUUUUAAUUUUCAAUUCUUUUUACUUUUUUAUAUAUGUUGAGCAUAUUUCAUGUGUUUCAUAUAUACAGAUUUAGGAGCAUAGUGAUACUUUUCAUCCUACCCUCCCUCCCGCCUUUACCCUCACCCCCCUCUUUUCUUUCUUAUCCUUUAAUUUUUACAAUGACAUAAUUUCAGUGUAUUUUAUAAUCAUAAGAUUAACCCUCCACUAAGUAAAGACUUCAACAAAAAAGUAAGAGGAAAAAAAAAAAAAACACUGUUCCUCACCGGUAGAGACAAGGGCUAUAAACAAUAAUCAAUUCUUACAAUGUCAGGCCGGUGCCGCGGCUCAAUAGGCUAAUCCUCCACCUAGCAGCGCCAGCACACCGGGUUCUAAUCCCAGUCGGGGCACCGGAUUCUUUCCCGGUUGCCCCUCUUCCAGGCCAGCUCUCUGCUGUAGCCCGGGAAGGCAGUGGAGGAUGGCCCAAGUACUUGGGCCCUGCACCCCAUGGGAAACCAGGAGAAGCACCUGGCUCCUUCGGAUCAGCGCGGUGUGCCAGCUGCAGCACGCCAGCCGUGGCGGCCAUUGGAGGGUGAACCAACGGCAAAAGGAAGACCUUUCUCUCUGUCUCUCUCUCUCACUAUCUACUCUGUCAAAAAAAAAAAAAAUUCUUACAAUGUCAAUUUUGCUCAUAUACAUUUUUUUUUGUAUUCUAUUAGUUAUCACAGAAUAGGAAAAACAUAUGGUACUUGUCUUUUUGGACUUUUUUAUUAAUAUAGAGGGUAUAGAUUUUAUGUAUUUCAUAGACAUAAUCCUAAGAAAAUAAGCAUUUGGAAUUUAUACAUCUGUAAUUCUGCCUACCAUUUUUAUGUCCAAUACCUUUUACCCCACAGUUAGAUUUUUCAAUUUUUAAGGGCAAGGACCACCACAUACACUGAUUUAUUAAGUUCUAUUUUAUAAAUAUUUACAUACGCAAGAAACAUAUACAGAACAAUAAUGUAAACACCACUCAGCUAAACAAAUAACACAUCACUAUGCAUUGAAGUCCCCUGUGUACUCAUCUCAGAUCAUAUUCUACUUCUUCCCUGCCUCUAGAGGGAGCCACUGGUGUUUAUCUUGGAAUGUGCUUCUAAUACAUCAAUUAUAUCUAUCCCUAGGCAGUAUCUACUGCUCUUUUGCAUGUUUUAAAAGUUAUAUAAAUAAUACCAUACUGUAUUAUUAUUAUUAUUUUUUUAACUUUUAUUUAAUGAAUAUAAAUUUCCAAAGUACGAUUUAUGGAUUACAAUGGCUUCCCCCCCAUAACGUCCCUCCCACCCGCAACCAUCGCCUUUCCCACUCCCUCUCCCCUUCCAUUCACAUCAAGAUUCAUUUUCGAUUAUCUUAAUAUACAGAAGAUCAGCUUAGUAUACAUUAAGUAAGGAUUUCAACAGUUUGCUCUCACACAGAAACAUAAAGUGAAAAAUAAUAGAUGAUUUUUUUAAAUGAUGAUGAAAUCAGAUCAGACCUAUUGUCAUGUUUAAUCGCAGUGAGAGUCAAGUUGGGAGUUGAUAAUUUCUUUUUCUUUUUUUUUUUUUUUUUACAGAGGAUCAGUUUAGUAUACAUUAAGUAAAGAUUUCAACAGUUUGCACCCCCAUAGAAACACAAAGUGAAAUAUAUUGUUUGAGUACUCGUUAUAGCAUUAAAUCUCAAUACACAGCACAUUAAGGACAGAGAUCCUACAUGAGGAGUAAGUGCACAGUGACUCCUGUUGUUGACUUUACCAAUUGACACUCCUGUCUAUGGCAUCAGUAGUCUCCCUAUGCUCCGGUCAUGAGUUUCCAAGGCUAUGGAAGCCCUCUGAGUUCUCCGAUUCUUAUCUUGUUUAGACAAGGUCAUAGUCAAAGUGGAGGUUCUCUCCUCCCUUCAGAGAAAGGUACCUCCUUCUUUGAAGACCUGUUCUUUCCACUGGGAUCUCACUCGCAGAGAUCUUUUGCCAGAGUGUCUUGGCUUUCCAUGCCUGAAAUACUCUCAUGGGCUUUUCAGCCAGAUCCAAAUGCCUUUAGGGCUGAUUCUGAGGCCAGAGUGCUAUUUAGGACAUUGCCAUUCUAUGAGUCUGCUGAGUAUUUCACUUCCCAUGUUGGAUCACUCUCCCCUUUAUUUAUUCUAUCGGUUAGUGUUAGCAGGUACUAGACUUGUUUAUGUGCUCCCUUUGACUCUUAGUCCUUUCAUUAUGAUCAAUUGUGAACUGAAAUUGAUCACUUGGAAUAGUGAGAUGGCAUUGGUACAUGCCACCUUGAUGGGAUUGAAUUGGAAUCCCCUGGUAUGUUUUUAACUCUCCCAUUUGGGGCAAGUCAGCUUGAGCAUGUCCCAAAUUAUACAUCUCUUCCCUCUCUUAUUCCCACUCUUAUGUUUAACAGGGAUCACAUUUCAGUUAAUUUUUAACACUUAAGAAUAACUGUGUAUUAAUUAAAGAAUUAAACCAGUCCUAUUAAGUAGAACAGACAAAAAAACUACUAAGAGGGAUAAUGUAUUAAGUUGUUCAUUAACAGUCAGGGCUAUGCUGAUCAAGUCACCGUUUCCCAUAGUGUCCGUUUCACUUCAGGAGGUUUCCUUUUUGGUGUUCAGUCAGUUGUCACCGAUCAGGGAGAACAUAUGGUAUUUGUCCCUUUGGGACUGGCUUACUUCACUCAGCAUGAUGUGUUCCAGAUUCCUCCAUUUUGUUGCAAAUGACUGGAUUUCGUUGUUUCUUACUGCGGUAUAGUAUUCUAAAGAGUACAUAUCCCAUAAUUUCUUUAUCCAGUCUACCGUUGAUGGGCAUUUAGGUCGGUUCCAGGUCUUAGCUAUUGUGAAUUGAGCUGCAAUAAACAUUAGGCUGCAGACCGCUUUUUUGUUGGCCAAUUUAAAUUCCUUAGGGUAAAUUCCAAGGAGAGGGAUGGCUGGGUCGAACGGUAGGGUUAUCUUCAGGUUUCUGAGGAAUCUCCAGACUGACUUCCAUAGUGGCUUGACCAGUUUGCAUUCCCACCAACAGUGGGUUAGUGUCCCUUUUUCCCCACAUCCUCGCCAGCAUCUGUUGUUGGUAGAUUUCUGAAUGUGAGCCAUUCUAACCGGGGUGAGGUGGAACCUCAUUGUGGUUUUGAUUUGCAUUUCUCUGAUUGCUAAUGACCUUGAACAUUUUUUCAUGUGCCUGUUGGCCAUUUGGAUUUCCUCUUUUGAAAAAUGUCUAUUGAGGUCCUUGGCCCAUCUCUUAAUUGGGUUGUUGGUUUUGUUUUUGUGGAGUUUCUUGAUCUCUUUGUAAAUUCUGG
Molecule: non-coding RNA, 19869 nt
Organism: Oryctolagus cuniculus (rabbit)
Lineage: Eukaryota; Metazoa; Chordata; Mammalia; Lagomorpha; Leporidae
Source: RefSeq, a predicted model, not a curated record